UACGUAGGUGGCGAGCGUUAUCCGGAUUUACUGGGCGUAAAGUGAGCGCAGACGGUUCUUCAAGUCAGUUGUUAAAUCUCUCGGCCUAACCGGGUGAGCGCAUCUGAUACUGUUGAACUAGAGGACAACAGAGGGAAGUGGAACUCCCGGUGUAGUGGUGGAAUGCGUAGAUAUCGGGAAGAACACCAGUGGCGAAGGCGGCUUCCUAGGUUGUUUCUGACGUUCAUGCUCGAAGGUGUGGGGAGCGAACAGG
This 253-nucleotide ribosomal RNA is filed under the name uncultured bacterium. RNAcentral's name for it is "partial 16S ribosomal RNA". It matches the Rfam family "Bacterial small subunit ribosomal RNA", at positions 524 to 776 of the family's 1533-position model. The record is from RNAcentral.